Non-coding RNA from Drosophila bipectinata, 457 nucleotides. NCBI's taxonomy places the organism in Eukaryota, Metazoa, Arthropoda, Insecta, Diptera, Drosophilidae. The record is from RefSeq and is a predicted model, not a curated record.
UCUACCCAGUAGGCUCACCCUUUAAUGUCACAGCUUGACAGCCAAAUAGUCAGUCACUCAGUCUCCUCCCUUUCCAAAAUGAAAUAGAUUCCGCAAACCACACGAAAUUGUAUUAAAUGUUCUGUGUUUAGAAUUUAUGGAGGAUAACAUUGUGUGCAACUGAAAAAAAUCAAAAUGGACAGGAUCUGUUGUAUUUCCUAUAAGCUGCGAUGCGGUCCCAUGGGUCCUUGUCUACCGGAAAUGGUUUACACUGGCAGCUGUGGUAGCCACUUUCCAACCUUCUUCUAUGUUCCACAGAGCUGCGUUCCUUGUCGUCCAGAGGCUGUUGAAAAGUGUACAAAACAGCAUAAAGAUAUGGUAUUACAUAAAUAAAACCAUCUCUUUAUGCUGUUAGCAAAGACUAAUGUAACUUAAAUUAAAAAAUAAAUAAUGAAACGAUAAAAUAAAGGGAGAAUAU